This is a long non-coding RNA of Lytechinus pictus (painted urchin), 563 nucleotides long. RefSeq lists it as uncharacterized. Lineage: Eukaryota; Metazoa; Echinodermata; Echinoidea; Temnopleuroida; Toxopneustidae. The record is from RefSeq and is a predicted model, not a curated record. The transcript has 4 exons.
CUUGCGCAUGCGCACUUACCGCCAACAUUUGAAAAGAAUUCCGUUGCGUUGCAGUUUAUUGAGCUCCAUCGAGAAGUGUGACGAAGAAGGCCGUUAAUAAUUCAACUACUUAAAGAAUACGGGUUAGAUAUGGACAACGACUUCGAAGACAUUUGCAGUAGGCUAAACAGAGAAAGAGAGAAGGACCCAAAACUACCUGUCCUGGCAUCACAUUUGAGGAGAAGAAGUCGAUGAAUAUGACCUAGCCCGGGGGAGUUUCCAGAAGAAGGCCCAGAACCACCGGCCGCCAGGAGUGGAGGUCCUUUGUUGUUGCUCUCCAUGUCAGGAGGCAUCGGGCAGUAGGUAAGACUAACCCUGGUAGAAGCACCAUCUUGAUACUAUCAUUCAAACUCUCAUCAGCUGUAUCAUUAUAGGUGGACUAAAAGAACAAUAUUCAUGCAGAUAUAAUGAUGCCUUAAGUUGGAAUGGAAGGUGUCCUGAAUCUGCACCCAUUCAUCUGGUUUCGUAACUCCUUUCAUAGUGCUAUUGGAACCUGCUCCCUACCAGUAUAACAUCAAACAGAU